RNAcentral lists this ribosomal RNA (388 nucleotides) under uncultured bacterium. Its description in RNAcentral is "bacterial SSU rRNA". It matches the Rfam family "Bacterial small subunit ribosomal RNA", at positions 28 to 416 of the family's 1533-position model. The record is from RNAcentral.
GACGAACGCUGGCGGCGUGCUUAACACAUGCAAGUCGAGCGGUAAGGCCCUUUCGGGGGUACACGAGCGGCGAACGGGUGAGUAACACGUGGGUGACCUGCCCUCAGCUCUGGGAUAAGCCUGGGGAAACCGGGUCUAAUACCGGAUAUGACUCCAUGACGCAUGUUGUGGGGUGGAAAGCCUUGUGCGGCUGAGGAUGGGCCCGCGGCCUAUCAGCUUGUUGGUGGGGUGAUGGCCUACCAAGGCGACGACGGGUAGCCGGCCUGAGAGGGCGACCGGCCACACUGGGACUGAGACACGGCCCAGACUCCUACGGGAGGCAGCAGUCGGGAAUAUUGGACAAUGGGCGAAAGCCUGAUCCAGCCAUGCCGCGUGAGUGAUGAAGGCC